GGUGGCUCAGUUGUAGAGUGCUUGUCUUGCAUGCAUGAGGCCCUGGGUUCGAUUCCAGAGCACCA
This 65-nucleotide transfer RNA is filed under the name Dipodomys ordii (Ord's kangaroo rat). It matches the Rfam family "tRNA". Rfam says of the family: Transfer RNA (tRNA) molecules are approximately 80 nucleotides in length. The record is from Rfam by way of RNAcentral. Lineage: Eukaryota; Metazoa; Chordata; Mammalia; Rodentia; Heteromyidae.